GGAGAGCAUGGUCCCGACUCUUAUGUUAGCUGUCUCUUAGCAAGAUACAUGGUAGUUUAGGCGCGGAGAGAGGUGCGUUAGUCCCGAGUGAGGUGCUGUUAAAUACGGGCUUGCAAAGCGGGGGGUGUUAUUAGUAGAAAGAAGAGGCCCCAUGGUAAAUCUCUAACACCAGUACAGAAAUUUGGGCAAUGGGGGACACCCCGACCCAGCUAAUGAGAAGAGGGGUGAGUAAGACUGGUGCCAGAACUCUCGGUAAUGCCAGCUCCCCAAGUUAACACAUAACGGCUAGGUGGUCAGGCAGGGAUUAAUAAAGGUGCUGCGCGCGUUAAUUUAGAGGUCAAAUUCGCUGAGAUUAAUGGCUUGGCCUUACAGCACUUGACUGUUGAAUCCGCGAAACUGUGGGGCUAGACCCGGAUCAGAUACCCGGUUAUUCCACAGCUGAAAUCCGUCAUUUACUGCCUGGGGACUACGAGGGAACCUUUAAAACCCGAGGGACUUGGCGGUGCACUAUACCUCCCAGGGGAACCUGGCCCUUAAUUCGAUGAUCCACGAAUCUCUUACCUUUCCUUGUUUAAAUAUGCCCUGUGGGGGCAUAUUUUUAUCAGUUUGCAUACCGCCGUUUUCAGCUUGUAUCGUGAGGUAAAAGAAACAGGCUAAUCAGCACUGUGAGCAUGGCCAGUCGGUAUGCUGGUGAUGGCACUGCUAGGAAUUCAGGUAAACGUGUAGCCUAUGGAAAGGGGGUGCUGGGUUACAAUUGUGGUUUGAAGUGGAUGGUAGCCCGAAGGGGCUGCCUGAAAGCGUACUUGGAAGUAAUGGCUUUGGGCAAUGAAGUCGUGAAUAGUGCUCUGGUGUGUGUACAAAUCGCCCGUCGCUCGCCCCGAAAGGGGUGAUAAGUCGUAACACGGUAGGGGUACCGGAAGGUGUCCCUAAAACAAC
This 936-nucleotide ribosomal RNA is filed under the name Nipponacmea fuscoviridis. RNAcentral's name for it is "12S ribosomal RNA". It matches the Rfam family "Bacterial small subunit ribosomal RNA". Lineage: Eukaryota; Metazoa; Mollusca; Gastropoda; Lottiidae. The record is from RNAcentral.